This 156-nucleotide ribosomal RNA is filed under the name uncultured bacterium. RNAcentral describes it as "partial 16S ribosomal RNA". It matches the Rfam family "Bacterial small subunit ribosomal RNA", at positions 1334 to 1500 of the family's 1533-position model. The record is from RNAcentral.
GCUAGUAAUCGCGGAUCAGAAUGCCGCGGUGAAUGCGUUCCCGGGUCUUGUACACACCGCCCGUCACACCAUGGAAGUUGGGGGCGCCCGAAGUUGGUCAAGAAGAGAUUACCUAAGGCGAAACCAAUGACUGGGGUGAAGUCGUAACAAGGUAGC